RNAcentral lists this long non-coding RNA (849 nucleotides) under Homo sapiens (human). RNAcentral describes it as "non-protein coding lnc-SV2B-1:7". The record is from RNAcentral. Lineage: Eukaryota; Metazoa; Chordata; Mammalia; Primates; Hominidae.
AGAUAGCCACUGGCUCCAUGAAGAGUCAGGAAGCUGGUGACAAAGAAAUCGGAGGGCUGGAGGGUAAAAGCAGGCGAAGGUGAUACUCAGAGGAGAAGGACACUGGAGAAGUCAGUCCUGAACCCACCAAUGAGGCUUGCCCUCUCUCACCUGCUGCCAUGUAAGAUGUGCCUGCUUCACCUUCCGCCAUGAUUGUCAGUUUCCUGAGGCCUCCCCAGCCAUGUGGAACUGCUUUUGUGAAGGAAGAGAAGGCCCCUGAACCAUCCAUGGACGGCAGUUAUCAAGUCUACAGAAACAUCAAAUGAAAGUUAUCUUACCAAGUGUUAUCAUCUCUACUCAAAAACUCUACUGGUCUGAAUCUCUCACCAGAUUGAGAUGCUAUCGAUGCUGGGACUAUGUCAUAUAUCUCUUUUUAUCCUUGGUUCCAAAUCCACGAACCAGGGCCUCAGAUUCAGUGGGAAUGAAGUGGAGGCCCAGAAAGAAUCAUGUCCAGGUGAAGCUCUACCAUUCCCAGCAGUAUUUGAGGACUGGUCGGUGUUCAGCAGCAGCCCCAGCCAGGACCUCCCAGGGGACCCAAGACGGGAUAGGAUGGAGAAGUGGAACCAGGCCCUCUGACCCUAUCCCAGCACUGGAAACUGGCGAGAGCAGGCUAUCCUUCCAGGCCAGGCCUAGGGACAGAUUAACAUCAAGAAUGGGCAGAAACCUCUGUUCCCCGCAGCCCUGAGACACUAUGCAAAAUAAAUCUUUGCUCCUGCUUUGUGGUGUCAGAAACUACUUUAAAAUGGAAGGAGGGAAGGCAUAUGUGAAAAAAUUCAAAUUCUUAAGAGACAGCUAGCUUCAAAAUCCAAA